Molecule: ribosomal RNA, 407 nt
Filed under: uncultured bacterium
Lineage: Bacteria
Description: partial 16S ribosomal RNA
Rfam family: Bacterial small subunit ribosomal RNA
Source: RNAcentral
GAUGAACGCUAGCGAUAGGCUUAACACAUGCAAGUCGAGGGACCGGCGCACGGGUGCGUAACGCGUAUGCAACUUGCCUCACAGAGGGGGAUAACCCGUCGGAAGACGGACUAAUACCGCGUACUGUGAGAUAGGCAUGCGUCCCAUUAGCUAGUUGGUGAGGUAACGGCUCACCAAGGCAACGAUGGGUAGGGGAACUGAGCGGUUGCACCCCCACACUGGUACUGAGACCCGGACCCGUCUCGUACGGGAGGCAGCAGUGAGGAAUAUUGGGCACUGGGCGAGAGCCUGAACCAGCCAAGUCGGGUGAAGGAUGACUGUCUAUGGAUUGUAAACUUCUUUUGUAGGGGACUAUUUACCCUACGAAUAAGCAUCGGCUAACUCCGUGCCAGCAGCCGCGGUAAUUC